RNAcentral lists this unclassified non-coding RNA (765 nucleotides) under Leishmania donovani. RNAcentral's name for it is "gene:unknown". Lineage: Eukaryota; Euglenozoa; Kinetoplastea; Trypanosomatida; Trypanosomatidae. The record is from RNAcentral.
CACAACAGAAGACAGAGAAGAUAAAAGCUGCUAGAAGACGAAGUCCGUGAUGACUGAAGUUGUUUGCCACCAACGACACCACCGCCGUUGGAGGGUGGAUGCACCUCUAGCGACGAGCGAUGCAUGCCUCUCGAUGGCAAGUCUUCUGCUCUCUGUUGCUUGCACUCUUCUCUCACGACAACGGCACGGUAAGCACUCUUCCAGCGCUCCGUCUGUGUACACAAAAACAUUAACUACAGCAUCGGCAGAGGACCGACACGGGGUAGAUGAAAAAGCUUUAUGGUGACUGUACGUAUGGUAACUAGGCAGGGGUGCGCUAAGCUGAUUUCCGUUGAUAUGGAGAGAAGACCGAACCUAUGCCGCCUUUCUUCCCGAUUCUCUCAACACCGUGGCCCUGGCCGCGUUGUCGAGCGUUACAGCAUGGUUUGACGGCGCAUCUCGUUGCGUCUUUUUGUGGGCUUUCGUUUCUCUGGAAAGGUCGUGCUUUCGCACCGUGUGCCACCUCUGCCUCUCAUCUUUUCCAUCGGUCGGUCUCUCUGUCCUUCUCAUCUCAUGCCCCCCGACCUCUGUCCGGCUUUCUGUCUGUCUGUGUGCGUGUGUGCCCCUUUCCUUCUGUGACCGUCCUCCCUUUUUCUUUAUAGGCUACCAAGCAGCCGUCUGUACAUAUGCACUUUUCCUUCCACCGUCGCCUGCCACUGCCAUCGUCUCACCUGCUUCUCUUCUCACCACGCCAUGCCAACCCAACGCUUGCGAUACACAAUGCAG